This 1246-nucleotide long non-coding RNA is filed under the name Phasianus colchicus (ring-necked pheasant). Its description in RNAcentral is "lncRNA (ENSPCLG00000018949.1)". The record is from RNAcentral. Lineage: Eukaryota; Metazoa; Chordata; Aves; Galliformes; Phasianidae.
CCGCCGCCCGCUCCGCUCCUUUCUCCGCCUCUUCUUUUUUCUCUCCUUGUCGUUCUUCUCUCCUUCGUUCUUUGCGUUCCGCUCUCUUUUCCUCUUUCUUUUUCUCUCUUCUCUCUUCUUCUUCAUUUUUGUCUUUUUUCCUCUUUCUCAUUUUAAUUCCUUUCCCCUUUCUGUUGCUUUUUCCCCUCCUUUUCAUUUAUCUCCUUUUUCCACUUUUUUGUUCUUCUCUCCUUUGCUCUUUGUGUUCUGCUCUCUUUUACUCUUUCCUUUUCUUUCUUCUCUCUUCUUCUAAGUUUUUAUUCUUUUUCCUCUUUCUCAUUUUAUCUCCUUUCCCCCUUCUAUUUCUUUUACCCCUCCUUUUCACUUAUCUCCUUUUUCCACUUUUUUGUUCUUCUCUCCUUUCCUCUUUGCGUUCUUCUCUCUUUUCCUCUUCCUUUUUCUCUCUCCUUUCUUCUUCUUCAUUUCUGUCUUUUUUUCCUCUUCUUCAUUUUAUCUCCUUUCCCUUUUCUGUUUCUUUUUCCCCUUCUUUUCACUUAUCUCCUUUUUCCACUUUUUAAUUCUUCUCUCCUUUCCUCUUUGCAUUUCUCUCUCUUUUCCUCUUUCCUUUUCUCUCUUCUCUCUUCUUCUCCAUUUUUGUCUUUUUUCCUCUUUUUCAUUUUAUCUCCUUUCCUUUUUCUGUUUCUUUUUCCCCUUCUUCCCACUUAUCUCUUUUUCCACUUUUUCGUUUUCCUCUCCUUUGCUCUUUGCUUUCUGCUCUCUUUUCCUCUUUCUUUUUCUUUCUUCUCUCUUCUUCUAAGAUUUUAUUCUUUUUCCUCUUUCUCAUUUUAUCUCAUUUCCCUUUUCUGUUUCUUUUUCCCCUCCUUUUCACUUAUCUCCUUUUUCCACUUUUUUGUUCUUCUCUCCUUUCCUCUUUGCAUUCUGCUCUCUUUUCCUCUUCCCUUUUCUCUCUCAUUUCUUCUUCUUCAUGUCUGUCUUUUUUCCUCUUCUUCAUUUUAUCUCCUUUCCUUUUUCUGUUUCUUUUUUCCCUUCUUCCCACUUAUCUCUUUUUUCCACUUUUUCAUUUUUCUCUCCUUUGCUCUUUGCUUUCUGCUCUCUUUUCCUCUUUCUUUUUCUCUCUUCUCUCUUCUUCUAAGUUUUUAUUCUUUUUCCUCUUUUUCAUUUUAUCCCUUUUCCUUUUUCUGUUUCUUUUUCCCCUCCUUUUCACUCCUUUUUCCACUUUUUCAUUUUUCUCUUUCUUUUCCUCUCC